CAGGUUUACCUGUGUGACUGCGUACCUUUUGUAUAAUGGGUCAGCGACUUAUAUUCUGUAGCAAGGUUAACCGAAUAGGGGAGCCGGAGGGAAACCGAGUCUUAAUUGGGCGUUAAGUUGCAGGGUAUAGACCCGAAACCCGGUGAUCUAGCCAUGGGCAGGUUGAAGGUUGGGUAACACUAACUGGAGGACCGAACCGACUAAUGUUGAAAAAUUAGCGGAUGACCUGUGGCUGGGGGUGAAAGGCCAAUCAAACCGGGAGAUAGCUGGUUCUCCCCGAAAGCUAUUUAGGUAGCGCCUCGUGAAUUCAUCUCCGGGGGUAGAGCACUGUUUCGGCUAGGGGGCCAUCCCGGCUUACCAACCCGAUGCAAACUGCGAAUACCGGAGAAUGUUAUCACGGGAGACACACGGCGGGUGCUAACGUCCGUCGUGAAGAGGGAAACAACCCAGACCGCCAGCUAAGGUCCCAAAGUCAUGGUUAAGUGGGAAACGAUGUGGGAAGGCCCAGACAGCCAGGAUGUUGGCUUAGAAGCAGCCAUCAUUUAAAGAAAGCGUAAUAGCUCACUGGUCGAGUCGGCCUGCGCGGAAGAUGUAACGGGGCUAAACCAUGCACCGAAGCUGCGGCAGCGAACGUAUCACUUAAAGCGAUUCAGCGGGUUACGAUUGACGGAGCGAAGCGACGUCAAAGCGUAUACAAAGUCGAGUCGGUUUAAGGAUACGUUCGUUGGGUAGGGGAGCGUUCUGUAAGCCUG
Molecule: ribosomal RNA, 752 nt
Filed under: Salmonella enterica subsp. enterica serovar Anatum
Lineage: Bacteria; Pseudomonadati; Pseudomonadota; Gammaproteobacteria; Enterobacterales; Enterobacteriaceae
Description: partial 23S ribosomal RNA
Rfam family: Bacterial large subunit ribosomal RNA
Source: RNAcentral